Molecule: ribosomal RNA, 253 nt
Filed under: uncultured bacterium
Lineage: Bacteria
Description: partial 16S ribosomal RNA
Rfam family: Bacterial small subunit ribosomal RNA
Source: RNAcentral
GACGUAGGGCGCGAGCGUUGUCCGGAUUUAUUGGGCGUAAAGAGCUCGUAGGCGGCUUGUCGCGUCGAAUGUGAAAUUUCAGGGCUCAACUCUGACAUUGCAUUCGAUACGGGCAGGCUAGAGUUCGGUAGGGGAGACUGGAAUUCCUGGUGUAGCGGUGAAAUGCGUAGAUAUCAAGAGGAACACCUGAGGUGAAGACGGGUUGCUGGGCUGACACUGACGCUGAGGCGCGAAAGCCAGGGGAGCAAACGGG